This 425-nucleotide ribosomal RNA is filed under the name uncultured bacterium. Its description in RNAcentral is "partial 16S ribosomal RNA". It matches the Rfam family "Bacterial small subunit ribosomal RNA", at positions 354 to 796 of the family's 1533-position model. The record is from RNAcentral.
GUGGGGAAUCUUGCGCAAUGGGCGAAAGCCUGACGCAGCCAUGCCGCGUGAAUGAUGAAGGUCUUAGGAUUGUAAAAUUCUUUCACCGGGGACGAUAAUGACGGUACCCGGAGAAGAAGCUCCGGCUAACUUCGUGCCAGCAGCCGCGGUAAUACGAAGGGGGCUAGCGUUGCUCGGAAUUACUGGGCGUAAAGGGCGCGUAGGCGGACAGCUUAGUCAGAGGUGAAAGCCCAGGUCUCAACCUUGGAAUUGCCUUUGAUACUGGCUGUCUUGAGUUUGGGAGAGGUGAGUGGAACUCCGAGUGUAGAGGUGAAAUUCGUAGAUAUUCGGAAGAACACCAGUGGCGAAGGCGACUCACUGGCCCAAUACUGACGCUGAGGCGCGAAAGCGUGGGGAGCAAACAGGAUUAGAAACCCGGGUAGUCC